Molecule: long non-coding RNA, 313 nt
Filed under: Vitis vinifera (wine grape)
Lineage: Eukaryota; Viridiplantae; Streptophyta; Magnoliopsida; Vitales; Vitaceae
Description: long non-coding RNA (VVIN_LNC000318)
Source: RNAcentral
UCCACCUCCAUCUCCAAGAAUAGAAAGAAUAGAAAAAAAUAAAAAAUCUCUGCAACCAAAGCUCCUCUCCUCCACCAGAUGGUCCUCUUCUCUAACCUCCAACUAUGCACAGAAAAUAAGGUUUUGAAGCGAGAGAGGGAGGGAGAGAAAAUUGGGUCAACUAACUAACAACUAUGAAUAAAUGCAUGCAGAUAUCAUGAUUGCUGGAAACAAGAGGUGGGAUUUCGUUUAAAAUUCAAACACCCCUUAGACUUUGAAAGGGAAAACUCUGUUUUUUUUCUUCCGUUUCGGAUGGUGGUGGGUGGUGUUUUAG